Molecule: ribosomal RNA, 449 nt
Filed under: uncultured prokaryote
Description: bacterial SSU rRNA
Rfam family: Bacterial small subunit ribosomal RNA
Source: RNAcentral
UGGGGAAUAUUGCACAAUGGGCGCAAGCCUGAUGCAGCAAUGCCGCGUGUGUGAAGAAGGCCUGCGGGUUGUAAAGCACUUUCAGUAGGGAAGAAAAGUUUGCGGUUAAUACCCGUAACCCCUGACGUUACCUACAGAAGAAGCACCGGCUAACUCCGUGCCAGCAGCCGCGGUAAUACGGAGGGUGCGAGCGUUAAUCGGAAUUACUGGGCGUAAAGCGCGCGUAGGUGGUUUGGUAAGUCGGAUGUGAAAGCCCCGGGCUUAACCUGGGAUGUGCAUUCGAUACUGCCAGACUGGAGUAUGGUAGAGGGUAGUGGAAUUCCCGGUGUAGCGGUGAAAUGCGUAGAUAUCGGGAGGAACAUCAGUGGCGAAGGCGGCUACCUGGACCAAUACUGACACUGAGGCGCGAAAGCGUGGGGAGCAAACAGGAUUAGAUACCCCCGUAGUCC